GCUGGCGGCGUGCCUNAUNCAUGCAAGUCGAGCGAACAGAUAAGGAGCUUGCUCCUUUGACGUUAGCGGCGGACGGGUGAGUAACACGUGGAUAACCUACCUAUAAGACUGGGAUAACUUCGGGAAACCGGAGCUAAUACCGGAUAACAUAUUGAACCGCAUGGUUCAAUAGUNAAAANNNNNNNNUGCUGUCACUUAUAGAUGGAUCCGCGCCGUAUUAGCUAGUUGGUAAGGUAACGGCUUACCAAGGCAACGAUACGUAGCCGACCUGAGAGGGUGAUCGGCCACACUGGAACUGAGACACGGUCCAGACUCCUACGGGAGGCAGCAGUAGGGAAUCUUCCGCAAUGGGCGAAAGCCUGACGGAGCAACGCCGCGUGAGUGAUGAAGGUCUUCGGAUCGUAAAACUCUGUUAUCAGGGAAGAACAAAUGUGUAAGUAACUGUGCACAUCUG
This 454-nucleotide ribosomal RNA is filed under the name Staphylococcus warneri. RNAcentral's name for it is "partial 16S ribosomal RNA". It matches the Rfam family "Bacterial small subunit ribosomal RNA", at positions 35 to 473 of the family's 1533-position model. Lineage: Bacteria; Bacillati; Bacillota; Bacilli; Caryophanales; Staphylococcaceae. The record is from RNAcentral.